RNAcentral lists this RNase P RNA (368 nucleotides) under uncultured Desulfobacter sp. Its description in RNAcentral is "Bacterial RNase P class A". It matches the Rfam family "Bacterial RNase P class A". Rfam says of the family: Ribonuclease P (RNase P) is a ubiquitous endoribonuclease, found in archaea, bacteria and eukarya as well as chloroplasts and mitochondria. Lineage: Bacteria; Pseudomonadati; Thermodesulfobacteriota; Desulfobacteria; Desulfobacterales; Desulfobacteraceae. The record is from RNAcentral.
ACGAUCGCCGGGUGAGUAAUCACCGGGAGGAAAGUCCGAACACCGCAGGACAGGACGCUCCAUAACGUGGAGUCACGGUAACGUGAAGGAAAGUGCAGCAGAGAGUAGACCGCCGAUGGUGCCAUUUUGGCACACAGGCAAGGGUGAAACGGUGCGGUAAGAGCGCACCAGUUCUCCAGGUGACUGGAGAAGCUUGGUAAACCCCGUCCGGUGCAAGACCAAAUAGGGAAACGCUUAAGGGCUGUCCGUCCUAUGUUUCCGGGUAGGUUGCUUGAGGUGUAUGGCAACAUGCACCCUAGAUGAAUGAUCGUUGACCUGGGUUUCGGGUAACCGGCCCGGGUAACAGAAUUCGGCUUACGGGCCGGUCU